RNAcentral lists this unclassified non-coding RNA (418 nucleotides) under Hevea brasiliensis (rubber tree). Lineage: Eukaryota; Viridiplantae; Streptophyta; Magnoliopsida; Malpighiales; Euphorbiaceae. The record is from RNAcentral.
UUUGGCUCAAAAUUCUAAAUUCUUUACGCUUUAUAUGCCCUCUCUUUUUCCAUUUUGAAGCAGUCUCUGACUCUCCAGGCAGAGCCUUGUUAUAGGCACAAACCCCGCUCUCGUCUUUCUUCUUCUUGGUUUGGCUAAUAAUUUGUUUGGGUUUUUGGUGGCUUGCCUUACAAUCCCAAAUAAGCCUCUCUCUUUUUCUCUGUGUGUUUAGCUGCAAAAUCUUCCCUUCUUUCCUUUUCAAUGGGUUGGUAAAGUAAAAAAUGGAGAUGACGACGACAUCUAUGAACCACCACCGACUCUGUCUUUUCUCUCUUUUUUCUUCUCCUCCGCCAUUUUAAGAAUUCAACGUCAAUCUUCUUGUCUCGUCUCUUCUCUCUCUCUCUCUAACGAACUUGUUUCUUCGGGGCGUUUUUGGGGA